This 465-nucleotide ribosomal RNA is filed under the name uncultured bacterium. Its description in RNAcentral is "partial 16S ribosomal RNA". It matches the Rfam family "Bacterial small subunit ribosomal RNA", at positions 338 to 795 of the family's 1533-position model. The record is from RNAcentral.
CCUACGGGGGGCAGCAGUGGGGAAUAUUGCGCAAUGGGCGAAAGCCUGACGCAGCGACGCCGCGUGAGGGAUGAAGGUCUUCGGAUCGUAAACCUCUGUCAGCAGGGAAGAACGGUCACUGUGCUAAUCAGCAGUGAAUUGACGGUACCUGCAAAGGAAGCACCGGCUAACUCCGUGCCAGCAGCCGCGGUAAUACGGAGGGUGCGAGCGUUAAUCGGAAUUACUGGGCGUAAAGCGCUCGUAGGCGGUAUGUCAAGUCAAGGGUGAAAGCCCCGCGCUCAACGUGGGAACUGCCUUUGAAACUGGCAAACUGGAGUGUGUGGGAGGAUAGUGGAAUUCCAGGUGUAGGAGUGAAAUCCGUAGAUAUCUGGAGGAACAUCAGUGGCGAAGGCGACUAUCUGGCACAUAACUGACGCUGAGGAGCGAAAGCGUGGGUAGCAAACAGGAUUAGAUACCCGGGUAGUC